GAAAUAAGAGAUUCAAAAAUAAGCUUCUAACUUAAAUUUUAAGCGGUGAAACUCCGUUUUUAUUUCU
RNAcentral lists this transfer RNA (67 nucleotides) under Latridiidae sp. 1 KM-2017. RNAcentral's name for it is "tRNA-Ser". Lineage: Eukaryota; Metazoa; Arthropoda; Insecta; Coleoptera; Latridiidae. The record is from RNAcentral.